UAGCGGCGGACGGGUGAGUAACACGUGGAUAACCUACCUAUAAGACUGGGAUAACUUCGGGAAACCGGAGCUAAUACCGGAUAAUAUUUUGAACCGCAUGGUUCAAAAGUGAAAGACGGUCUUGCUGUCACUUAUAGAUGGAUCCGCGCUGCAUUAGCUAGUUGGUAAGGUAACGGCUUACCAAGGCAACGAUGCAUAGCCGACCUGAGAGGGUGAUCGGCCACACUGGAACUGAGACACGGUCCAGACUCCUACGGGAGGCAGCAGUAGGGAAUCUUCCGCAAUGGGCGAAAGCCUGACGGAGCAACGCCGCGUGAGUGAUGAAGGUCUUCGGAUCGUAAAACUCUGUUAUUAGGGAAGAACAUAUGUGUAAGUAACUGUGCACAUCUUGACGGUACCUAAUCAGAAAGCCACGGCUAACUACGUGCCAGCAGCCGCGGUAAUACGUAGGUGGCAAGCGUUAUCCGGAAUUAUUGGGCGUAAAGCGCGCGUAGGCGGUUUUUUAAGUCUGAUGUGAAAGCCCACGGCUCAACCGUGGAGGGUCAUUGGAAACUGGAAAACUUGAGUGCAGAAGAGGAAAGUGGAAUUCCAUGUGUAGCGGUGAAAUGCGCAGAGAUAUGGAGGAACACCAGUGGCGAAGGCGACUUUCUGGUCUGUAACUGACGCUGAUGUGUGAAAGCGUGGGGAUCAAACAGGAUUAGAUACCCUGGUAGUCCACGCCGUAAACGACUGAAGUGCUAAGUGUUAGGGGGUUUCCGCCCCUUAGUGCUGCAGCUAACGCAUUAAGCACUCCGC
RNAcentral lists this ribosomal RNA (795 nucleotides) under uncultured Staphylococcus sp. RNAcentral's name for it is "bacterial SSU rRNA". It matches the Rfam family "Bacterial small subunit ribosomal RNA", at positions 93 to 872 of the family's 1533-position model. The record is from RNAcentral. Lineage: Bacteria; Bacillati; Bacillota; Bacilli; Caryophanales; Staphylococcaceae.